AAUAUGACACGGUUUUAACUACUUAUUAUGAAAUGUAAAUAUUUAAGUAUUAAUGUUUUUAAAAAGUCUGAUUUAUGUUUUAACUACUUAUUAUGAAAUGUAAAUAGUCCCAUAUCGUGAUAGUAUGCUACGCGAUCAAAUUCGUUUUAACUACUUAUUAUGAAAUGUAAAUCAAGUAACAGGAAAAGGACAAGUAUAUCUAUUAAAGUUUUAACUACUUAUUAUGAAAUGUAAAUUACAACAUGAGCUGGCUAUUCUCUUCUGCUGAAACAGGUUUUAACUACUUAUUAUGAAAUGUAAAUCCUAAUACACCUAAACUACUCUUAUAUAUAAAAACAGUUUUAACUACUUAUUAUGA
RNAcentral lists this small RNA (358 nucleotides) under Listeria monocytogenes. RNAcentral describes it as "rliB". It matches the Rfam family "Listeria sRNA rliB". Lineage: Bacteria; Bacillati; Bacillota; Bacilli; Caryophanales; Listeriaceae. The record is from RNAcentral.